UACGGGGGGUGCGAGCGUUGUCCGGAAUUACUGGGCGUAAAGCGCGCGUAGGCGGCCCUGCAAGUCGGGGGUGAAAGCCCGAGGCUCAACCUCGGAACUGCCUUCGAUACUGCGGGUCUCGAGUCCGGGAGAGGUGAGUGGAAUUCCUAAUGUAGAGGUGAAAUGCGUAGAUAUCUGGAGGAACACCGGUGGCGAAGGCGGCAUCCUGGACCGAUACUGACGCUGAGGAGCGAAAGCCAGGGGAGCAAACGGG
This 253-nucleotide ribosomal RNA is filed under the name uncultured bacterium. RNAcentral's name for it is "partial 16S ribosomal RNA". It matches the Rfam family "Bacterial small subunit ribosomal RNA", at positions 524 to 776 of the family's 1533-position model. The record is from RNAcentral.